Molecule: non-coding RNA, 598 nt
Organism: Thamnophis sirtalis
Lineage: Eukaryota; Metazoa; Chordata; Lepidosauria; Squamata; Natricidae
Source: RefSeq, a predicted model, not a curated record
CCAUGCAUGCAUGCAAUGCAUCUCUGCAUGCAUGCAACCCCGCAGCCUUUUGGCGUGCGUGGGUUUCCAAAGCCAGCCAUGCCAAAAAAAGGGGGGGCGCAAUUGCCCAUCCUCACCUGCCAGGAUCGCCUUGCCCGGGUGCGUCAGCUUGACUUUGCCGGCCGGGGCUGCGGCGGCCAGGCAGCGGGGUCGGGCGAAGGGGCUGACGAAGCCCGCGGCCGGCGGGGUGGAAGACAUCGCGGCUGCGGGAGGAAGAGGAGGAGGAGAAGGAGGCGGCUGGUGGCAUCGCCGGAGGUAUUGAAAUCUGCAUCACAUUCCCCACCGAAUACGUGAAAACCCAGCUGCAGCUGGAUGAAAAGGCCAACCCGCCACGUUAUAAAGGCAUCGUGGACUGUGUCCGAGUGACAGUCAGGGACCAUGGGAUCAAAGGCCUUUACCGAGGCCUCAGCUCACUGGUGUAUGGCUCCAUCCCAAAGGCCGCCGUGAGGUAAACAUCUACUGGACCUUACGGUGGGAAGGGGGUCGGGUGUGAUGUGAGGACAAUCAACCCAUGGAACAGAAGUUGCUUUCGGAAGUUGUGGGAGCUUCAUCACUGGAG